UAGUCUUAUUUUAAUUUCCUCACCUUCAAUUAACCCUUCAUUAGUAAUGAGUAAUUCUAUAUUUUUAUAGAAAUUUUUAUGUAAAAACUAGUAACAAGAAGAAGACCUUCUCUUAAAUGCACCUAUAAAUCAGAAAGGACACACCACUGAUAAUUAACGCUUAUGAUUCUAAAGUAAAAACUUAACCAGAAAAACUUACUAGACACAACGUUAACCUUACACAAGAACAUUUCAAGAAAGAUUAAAAGAAAAAGAAGGAACUCGGCAAAUAUUAACCCCGCCUGUUUACCAAAAACAUCGCCUUUUGAAAAACAUAAGAGGUCCAGCCUGCCCAGUGACAGUGUUCAACGGCCGCGGUAUCCUAACCGUGCGAAGGUAGCGUAAUCACUUGUCCUUUAAAUGAGGACUAGUAUGAAUGGCAUCACGAGGGUUAUACUGUCUCCUUUUUUUGAUCAGUGAAACUAAUUUUUCCGUGAAGAAGCGGAAAUACACCUAUAAGACGAGAAGACCCUAUGGAGCUUUAAACGAAACAACAUUUGCUUUAACACACGCUAAUCUCAGGAAAUUAACCUUUAUUUUAGCCCUAUAAUUGCUAGUUUUAGGUUGGGGUGACCGCGGAGUAAAAAAUAACCUCCACAAUGAAUGGGGACUUCCCCUAAACAAAAAACCACAACUUUAUGUAUCAACAAAUUGACAUCAAUUGACCCAAUAUUUUGAUCAACGAAACAAGUUACCCUAGGGAUAACAGCGCAAUCCACUUCGAGAGCCCAUAUCGACAAGUGGGUUUACGACCUCGAUGUUGGAUCAGGAUACCCCAGUGGCGCAGCCGCUACUAAAGGUUCGUUUGUUCAACGAUUAAAACCCUACGUGAUCUGAGUC
Molecule: ribosomal RNA, 879 nt
Filed under: Gastrotheca nebulanastes
Lineage: Eukaryota; Metazoa; Chordata; Amphibia; Anura; Hemiphractidae
Description: partial 16S ribosomal RNA
Rfam family: Bacterial large subunit ribosomal RNA
Source: RNAcentral